CAGUAGCCGCGGGAAUACGGAGGGUGCAAGCGUUAAUCGGAAUUACUGGGCGUAAAGCGCACGCAGGCGGUCUGUCAAGUCAGAUGUGAAAUCCCCGGGCUUAACCUGGGAACUGCAUUUGAAACUGGCAGGCUAGAGUCUUGUAGAGGGGGGUAGAAUUCCAGGUGUAGCGGUGAAAUGCGUAGAGAUCUGGAGGAAUACCGGUGGCGAAGGCGGCCCCCUGAACAAAGACUGACGCUCAGGUGCGAAAGCGUGGGGAGCAAACAGGAUUAGAUACCCCAGUAGUCCCUGUCUCUUAUAC
RNAcentral lists this ribosomal RNA (301 nucleotides) under uncultured bacterium. Its description in RNAcentral is "partial 16S ribosomal RNA". It matches the Rfam family "Bacterial small subunit ribosomal RNA", at positions 509 to 807 of the family's 1533-position model. The record is from RNAcentral.